Molecule: long non-coding RNA, 426 nt
Organism: Drosophila novamexicana
Lineage: Eukaryota; Metazoa; Arthropoda; Insecta; Diptera; Drosophilidae
Exons: 5
Source: RefSeq, a predicted model, not a curated record
AUGAAAAUGUAAACAACAAAGAUCGGGCCCCGGUUCCGGACCCAGCGUACCCGCCCUACCAUGAGACGAUCACCUCCACUCGUCUCCCUCAUUUUGGCCACUAAAUGGCCUAUAUUAGCCCGUGUCGGCCAUAAUGCCCACUCUCCCCAACAAUAUUAUUUUAGCCGGACAUGAUUUCUUUCAAUAGCUGUUUAGGAUCUCAUGCAAGCGGAUAAUUCAUUAACUUCACAGAAUUAAUUUUUUUAUUUUUUUACAACACUGAAUGGAACAGGCGACGAAAUACUACAAGGAUAUUGCUAGUCGCCGCAAAAGAAACGCGCAAGGAGGCACUUUAGAGGCAAUCGUUGCGCCGAUUUAGGAACAAUGGCCCACACAAUUACUUAAAACUGGAGCUCUCUGGGGGUGGUAAGGGGCGAUAUAAAUGCG